GUGCUUGUUUCAGCAGCACAUGUACUAAAAUUGGAACGAUACAGAAAUUAGCAUGGUCCCUGCUCAAAGAUGACGUGAAAAUUCAUGAAGCAUUCCACGUUUUA
Molecule: small nuclear RNA, 104 nt
Organism: Nomascus leucogenys (northern white-cheeked gibbon)
Lineage: Eukaryota; Metazoa; Chordata; Mammalia; Primates; Hylobatidae
Source: Ensembl